RNAcentral lists this ribosomal RNA (891 nucleotides) under uncultured bacterium. RNAcentral's name for it is "bacterial SSU rRNA". It matches the Rfam family "Bacterial small subunit ribosomal RNA", at positions 39 to 902 of the family's 1533-position model. The record is from RNAcentral.
GCGGCGUACUUCACACAUGCAAGUCGAACGAGGAUCAUCGGGUUCGCAAUAAUUCGGUGGUCCUCGUCGGCGCACGGGUGAGUAACACGUGGGUGACCUCGCCCUGAGCUCGGGAUACCCCCUCGAAGAGGAGCUAAUACCGGAUACGUUUCCCCGGUUGAAAGAUCGGGGAAGAAAAUGGCGCAAGCUGCCGCUCUUCGGAGGGGCUCGCGGCCUAUCAGCUAGUUGGCGGGGUAACGGCCCACCAAGGGCUAUGACGGGUAGCUGGGUCUGAGAGGACGACCAGCCACACGGGGACUGAGACACGGCCCCGACUCCUACGGGAGGCAGCAGUGGGGGAAUUUUCCGCAAUGGGCGAAAGCCUGACGGAGUGACGCCGCGUGUGGGACGAAGGCCUUCGGGUCGUAAACCACUGUCAGUGGGAAAGAUGGGUGUCGGCGCUAAUACCGCCGGCAUCUGACGGUACCUGCAGAGGAAGCCCCGGCCAACUCUGUGCCAGCAGCCGCGGUAAGACAGAGGGGGCAAGCGUUGCUCGGAAUUACUGGGCGUAAAGGGCGCGUAGGCGGGAUGGCAAGUCGGUCGUGAAAUCCCUCGGCUCAACCGAGGAACGUCGAUCGAUACUGCUGUUCUUGAGGAUUGCAGAGGAGACUGGAAUUCCCGGUGUAGCGGUGAAAUGUGUAGAGAUCGGGAGGAACACCGGUGGCGAAGGCGGGUCUCUGGGCAAUUCCUGACGCUGAGGCGCGAAAGCGUGGGGAGCGAACGGGAUUAGAUACCCCGGUAGUCCACGCUGUAAACGAUGAGCACUAGGUGUGGGGGGGUUCAGUCCCCUCCGUGCCGCAGCUAACGCAUUAAGUGCUCCGCCUGGGGAGUACGGCCGCAAGGUUGAAACUC